CUUGGUCAUUUAGAGGAAGUAAAAGUCGUAACAAGGUGUCCUUCCCAGCGGAUCGACGGAAGCCUUUGCACCCUGUGGAGGGGUCCCAACGACUGAAAAUAAGGGACAGCAAGUCACCUCGCUCGAGGCGGCAACAUGAUCGAAUUGCGGGGACAGCCUAAAGCUCACAGCACCAACGCGCCGGGGAAACUCGGCGGGGAUGGUUAUAGCCCGUGAGAUGUACCAAUGGCCGAUCCGCAGCGAAGCUCCUACCGGCACCGCCUAGGGAGAUCGUUCACAGACUAAGUGAUCGUGGGUAGCACCGCUGCUUAAGAUAUAGUCGGGCCACGGGGAGACCCAGUGGGUGAGUCGCUAGAACACACGUUCCGUAGGUGAACCUGCGGAAGGAUCAUUAACAUAGCACAACGCCGCGAGGCGUGCCCUCACGGGUGCGUCCCGACACCGUGCUCAAAGGGGGUCGUACAUGCUUCCGUGACACUCUUGACAGGGGAAACCCGAUCGGGUCGAGGGGAGGCUGAUUGGCGACUUACUACUACAUCCUUUGUGAACUUUACCAUUGUUGCUUUGGCGGGCCGCAUCUGCCCUCGGCUCACGCUGGGGAGUGCCCGCCAGAGGACCCAACUCUUGAUAUUAGUGAUGUCUGAGUACUAUAUAAUAGUUAAAACUUUCAACAACGGAUCUCUUGGUUCUGGCAUCGAUGAAGAACGCAGCGAAAUGCGAUAAGUAAUGUGAAUUGCAGAAUUCAGUGAAUCAUCGAAUCUUUGAACGCACAUUGCGCCCCGUGGUAUUCCGCGGGGCAUGCCUGUUCGAGCGUCAUUAUGACCAAUCAAGCUCAGCUUGGUAUUGGGGCCUGCCAUGAGGCAGCCCUUAAACGUAGUGGCGGCGCCCCGUGGCUCUCAGCGUAGUAAUACUUCUCGCUCUAGGGUCCGCGUGGAUGCUCGCCAGCAACCCCCAACUCUCAGGGUUGACCUCGGAUCAGGUAGGGAUACCCGCUGAACUUAAGCAUAUCAAUAAGCGGAGGA
Molecule: ribosomal RNA, 1022 nt
Filed under: uncultured Leotiomyceta
Lineage: Eukaryota; Fungi; Ascomycota
Description: eukaryotic LSU rRNA
Rfam family: 5.8S ribosomal RNA (bases 663-816)
Source: RNAcentral